AUGAACGCUGGCGGCGUGCCUCAUCCCUGCAAGUCGAGCGAACAGAUGAGGAGCUUGCUCCUCUGACGUUAGCGGCGGACGGGUGAGUAACACGUGGAUAACCUACCUAUAAGACUGGGAUAACUUCGGGAAACCGGAGCUAAUACCGGAUAAUAUAUUGAACCGCAUGGUUCAAUAGUGAAAGACGGUUUUGCUGUCACUUAUAGAUGGAUCCGCGCCGCAUUAGCUAGUUGGUAAGGUAACGGCUUACCAAGGCGACGAUGCGUAGCCGACCUGAGAGGGUGAUCGGCCACACUGGAACUGAGACACGGUCCAGACUCCUACGGGAGGCAGCAGUAGGGAAUCUUCCGCAAUGGGCGAAAGCCUGACGGAGCAACGCCGCGUGAGUGAUGAAGGUCUUCGGAUCGUAAAACUCUGUUAUUAGGGAAGAACAAAUGUGUAAGUAACUAUGCACGUCUUGACGGUACCUAAUCAGAAAGCCACGGCUAACUACGUG
This 496-nucleotide ribosomal RNA is filed under the name uncultured bacterium. RNAcentral's name for it is "partial 16S ribosomal RNA". It matches the Rfam family "Bacterial small subunit ribosomal RNA", at positions 29 to 507 of the family's 1533-position model. The record is from RNAcentral.